GAUGAAGAACGCAGCGAAAUGCGAUACGUAAUGUGAAUUGCAAAUUCAGUGAAUCAUCGAGUCUUUGAACGCACAUUGCGCCCCCUGGUAUUCCGGGGGGCAUGCCUGUCCGAGCGUCAUUGCUGCCCUCAAGCACGGCUUGUGUGUUGGGCCCCGUCCUCCGAUCCCGGGGGACGGGCCCGAAAGGCAGCGGCGGCACCGCGUCCGGUCCUCGAGCGUAUGGGGCUUUGUCACCCGCUCUGUAGGCCCAGCCGGCGCUUGCCGAUCAACCCAAAUUUUUAUCCAGGUUGACCUCGGAUCAGGUAGGGAUACCCGCUGAACUUAAGCAUAUCAAUAAGCGGAGGA
RNAcentral lists this unclassified non-coding RNA (345 nucleotides) under soil metagenome. RNAcentral describes it as "partial contains 5.8S ribosomal RNA, internal transcribed spacer 2, and large subunit ribosomal RNA". The stretch from base 1 to 119 matches the Rfam family "5.8S ribosomal RNA", at positions 35 to 154 of the family's 154-position model. The record is from RNAcentral.